RNAcentral lists this ribosomal RNA (252 nucleotides) under uncultured bacterium. Its description in RNAcentral is "partial 16S ribosomal RNA". It matches the Rfam family "Bacterial small subunit ribosomal RNA", at positions 524 to 776 of the family's 1533-position model. The record is from RNAcentral.
UACGUAGGGUGCGAGCGUUGUCCGGAAUUAUUGGGCGUAAAGAGCGUGUAGGCGGCUUGGUAGGUCUUGCGUCAAAACCUGAGGCUCAACCUCAGUUCGCGUGGGAAACCAUCUAGCUAGAGUCCGGAAGAGGAGAACGGAAUUCCCAGUGUAGAGGUGAAAUUCGUAGAUAUUGGGAAGAACACCGGUGGCGAAGGCGGCGACCUGGUCCUUGACUGACGCUGAGGCGCGAAAGCGUGGGGAGCAAACAGG